UACGUAGGGGGCGAGCGUUGUCCGGAGUUACUGGGCGUAAAGCGUGCGUAGGUGGUUUGUUAAGUCUGUUGUGAAAGCCCCGGGCUCAACCUGGGAAUGGCAAUGGAUACUGGCAGGCUAGAGUGCGGUAGAGGGUAGUGGAAUUCCCGGUGUAGCGGUGAAAUGCGUAGAGAUCGGGAGGAACACCAGUGGCGAAGGCGGCUACCUGGACCAGCACUGACACUGAGGCACGAAAGCGUGGGGAGCAAACAGG
RNAcentral lists this ribosomal RNA (253 nucleotides) under uncultured bacterium. RNAcentral describes it as "partial 16S ribosomal RNA". It matches the Rfam family "Bacterial small subunit ribosomal RNA", at positions 524 to 776 of the family's 1533-position model. The record is from RNAcentral.